GUGAACUCUAGCCCCAUACACACCAUACACAUUCACACACUGCCCCCACACACACCAUACACAUUCACACACUGCCCCCACACACACAAUACACAUUCACACACUGCCCCCCCCCACACACACACACACUGAACCUUUCAUACACAUUGCACCCCUCACACAUUGCACCACUGCUCCUAUACCCUACUACAGCCCCAUAUCCCAGCAGACUCCAGGUAAGUUGUCAAACUGUUCUUAGACGGUUUGGCUACUUACUCUGG
Pelobates cultripes (western spadefoot toad) is the source of this 260-nucleotide non-coding RNA. NCBI's taxonomy places the organism in Eukaryota, Metazoa, Chordata, Amphibia, Anura, Pelobatidae. The record is from the annotation of a GenBank genome assembly.